This 353-nucleotide unclassified non-coding RNA is filed under the name Hevea brasiliensis (rubber tree). Lineage: Eukaryota; Viridiplantae; Streptophyta; Magnoliopsida; Malpighiales; Euphorbiaceae. The record is from RNAcentral.
UUAUCUUCCUCUGGCGCUCCACAAUUUCACUCUCUUUACUAAGCACCGCCCUCCUCUGUGCCACCACCUUCCUUUCCCUCUCCCUCCGAAACCUGGUUCUGUGGGUGGAUUAGACCAAUGGUGAGGUUGAACUGCAGGUGUUGAUGGUAGGGUUCGUCGCGGGGAUGAUGGUGAAGGGAAGUCUGACAAGAGGAGAUGAGACCAGAGAGAGUCCUAAGUGGAUAAUCGGUGGAGGCGUCUGCAGGAGAUAGAGAUGCAAAAGAGAUCUUUAAAGCUGAAUUUGGAAUUUCGUAUUCCGAUUUCCAGCAUUGGCCUCCAUAGCUCGUCUUCUUCUCUGCAUAAUGAAUUUUUAG